AAAAAGAAAGAAAGAAAUCAGCCUAGUAACCAACGAGGAAUCACAGAGGGGAUGGGCAUCUUUGUACAGAAGACCGGACGAGGCCCAGAGGAAGCCGCCGGCUCACAUGGCAGCUGGCGCCAGGGCUGGGACGGGGACCCAAGGCUCCUGACCUCGGGUUUUCUUUGUACAACAACCUGCUACUAUAUUUUUUAGAGAAAUAAAUUAUGCUCCGUGCUGGUGGGAAGCCUUUUAAACAAAAAGAAAAAAGGAAACGGCCAAGAUGCAUCUUAAUUAGAAAGUGCUUGGGAAAAAAAAAUCUUCGCGGGAGGCGGGUACACAGCACCGUGCCACGAACGGUCAGCAGCAUCAGAGUGUGAGAACCCAGCAGGCUAAUUUAGAGCCUCCAGCGUCCGGAUGGAGCGGCCACGGCUCCCCAAACACGUGACUGCCCAGAAGGUUUGCUCACUGCCCUUACGCCUGACCUGUUCCAUCCAAGCAAUUGCAACAUCGCCACUUCCAAGGAAGAUGACAGCUCUUUCUCAAAACAAACUCAAAGCCUGGGUCAGGAAUAUGCACCACAGCCUGCUAAAAAUCAGUGACAACAUGGCCUGACGCUGAUUUUCCCAAGAACUAUGGGAUCCUUGGUGUUUUGGUUUUGGUUUUCAGAAAAAAGAAACCGUCCACAAAGUAGAUAGGGUGUUUUCAGCCAGAGAAGUCAACGUGCUCUGUUACCCAAUAGCAGGGGAGGAGGGAAAGGGCCCCGGGAAGGGGACGCGUGCACGCCAGGCAGGGUACUGGGGCAACCUAGGCCUGCCCCCCUCGCCGUCACAGGUGAGUAAACUGAGGUUCAGAGAAUUCCAUGACUUGCCCAGUUUCAUUUGCUUGGUAAACGCUAAUGAGGACGUGAACUCAGGCGUACCUCCAAAGUCAAAAGGCUGCCUCCCAGAAACAAGCUCAGAGAUCUGCGGGAACAACAUGGAGCUCUGUGGAAAAACGCAGAAGCAGGUGGCUUUCGCAAACUGUCUCUCUGGCAAAGUGUGCAGUUCCCUAGGUAGCCAUACUGGCAGAGUAACUCUCACCCCCACAAAGAGAGCCAGGAAGACUAGGGUGCGUGUGUGUGUGGUGGGGGGGGAGACUGUGAGCAUUUUGCAGGAGGCACUACUGAGUCACACGCCAGAAAGCAAUUGUAAAAAUGACAUCUUGGGACCUGGAUUUAUUCCCUCUUCAACAUCAUAUUUGCUCCGUUUACAAGGCAAAGAUGAUUUUUCUCUCUGCCAAGGCCGAACAUUCCCAGCCUGUGAUCUGAAAAUCAUGCUGUGUUCAUUUUGCCUCUUAACUCACCCAAGGCCAUAAAUCAUCCCUCGAAAUGGGGAUUUGGUUGGCAGUUCUAUCGGGGAUUCACAGGGCAGAGGAGGAAUCCAAUUUGGGGCUCUCACGGUCAUCCUGAGCCGGCUGGGAGCAGGGCAGCAUUGCUUUUGGCCACACAAGUGCCUCCAUGCUCCAUGGAGAAGACGCCCGCGAGGCAGAUCUCCUGACCAAGCAGGGCCGUUGCUCUCCUGGGUUAGUUUGCGGAUUCCAAGUGCACUUUGUGACAAAGGAGGAGGUCAAGGCAACUGGAGAGAGUGAGAGGAACAGAGAGCACAGCAGGAUCCAGCCCUUCCCCAGCCAAACCCAGGACGAGGGGCUAGGGGAAAACAGGGCAGGCGGAGACUGAGGUGGGCGAUUCAUUCAUUCCAAAAUAUUGAUUAAGAGCCUACUGCCUGUGAUGUGCCAGGCACUGUUUCUUUCCUUGGAAUAGAAUUAUUUUCACAAUCAUCUUUUAACAAAUAGAAUAACAGUGGAGGCAGCUUACAGUUAAUGAGUGUACUCGGCAGGUGUUUCACACACAUCGGCUUUAUCUGAUCUUUAUAGCUGCUGGGUGAAGUAGGUAUUAUCCUCAUUGUACAGAUGGAGAAACCGAGGUGCAGAGAGAUUAAGAAACCUGGGGCACCUGGGUAGCUCAGUUGGUUAAGUGUCUGACUUCAGCUCAGGUCAUGAUCUCACAGUUUGUGAGUUCGAGCCCCACACUGGGCUGGCUGCUGUCAGCACAGAGCCCCCUUCAGAUCCUCUGUCCUCUUCUCUCUCUGCCCCUCCCCUGCUCACUCGUUAUCUCCCUCAAAAAUAAAUAAACAUUUAAAAAGAAAGAAAGAAAGAAACUUGCCCCUGGUCACAUGACUAGUAAGUGGCAGAGCCAGGAUUCGAACUCAGGCAGGUGAGGUUUUCAAAUCCAUACCUCUCUUAGCUCAUUAUGCUGACGGCCAGUGGAGUGUUUUGCAAUCAUGUGUUUUCAGGUUAUUGGGCAGGGAUAAAAUAUCUUCCUAUGCUGGGAGAACAGAGGAAAAUCUGAGUCUUUUUUCCAGGUCCUGAAUCCUCAGCUGAUGUCCACUAGAAACUGAUGCCUGGAGAUGGGCUGCAGCAGACUCUGGCCAUGAAGUACAUGUCUUCUCCAGCUUCCAUGAGGACAGUGGAGUAGAAGAUACAGCACCACCAGCCCCGAAACCAUCCUUCUGCCCUGUUUCCUUCUCUGUGGCCACCGUAAGUGGUCACUGGGGGACAGGGCAGCACGGUGGUUUAUGGGUUGGUUUUUGGAGUCUGACAGCCUUGUCAUGAAGUCUCUGCUUGAUAACUGUGUGACUAAGCAAGUCCUAAAACUCACCUAGUCUCAGUUUCCUUAUCUGUGAAAUAGGGAUAAAAUGGGUAGUUUAUUCCUUCCAAGGGCUAUGAGGAAGACAUAAGAGAAUGCAUGUGCAGGGAACCCCCAAAUCAUACACUCCCUGACAGUGUCCUCCUGCUAAAGCUCCACAAACUCCUAGCUCCUGGUGGUGAUCUGGCCAUGACCGUAGGCCUGCAUUUUGACAAUCCGGCCUCGGUCAAUUUAGCUAAUCUCAGAGUGGGUGGUGCAAAGAGCCCUGGGCUGGGACUCAUGCCGAGAGUCUGAGCCUCCGUCCUGCAAUUAAUAGGCUGUGUCACCCCGAAAGUCCCUUCCCCUCUCUGAGCUUGGCUUCCCCCACACUCAGAUGAAGAAGUAGGACCUGCCUUCAAAGAGUCCCACUGGUGGCACCCUCCCAAGACUCUGCGCUCGUGCCGAUUUUCCCUUCUGCCAAGGCAAGAUGAAGUUAUCAUGGCUCACUCGGACUUCUUGGGAGGAUUAGUGCUCGUUAAGUGCUUCAAGGCUGGCAGCUGGCACCGAUGCAAGGUGUCACUUACUACCUGCCCGGAAAUUCUUAUCCUGGCAGGAGGCUGAUUUAUUCCAUGGCCUUGAACCUUAACCUUCCCCUGCCUCUUCCCUGUUAAAAAUUCCUCUGUCAGCUGCUUCAAUGAAGGAGCGAACGGGAUGCUGUCCACCAGUGGGCUGCCAACCCAUGAUCUCUGCCAUGGGUGCUCAAGGGCUGGGAAAACAGGGCAGGCUUGGAAAGCCCUGGAGCCCUCAGGUGGCCCCCUGAGCCCAGGGGUCUUGGGCAUGCUCCAGUCAAAACAGGAGGGGCACAUACUGUUCUAAGGGACUCACAUCAUCCUCACAUCAGCUGACUUGAAGAACGCCAGGCAUGAAUAUGAGCGCUUCUGUGUCUCAGCUCCUUUAGCUCUCAAACCAAUCCUGUGAGUAGCUAGUACUGUUGUCCCAACUUAUAGCUGGGACACUGAGGCCCAGAAAGGUUAAACUUGCCCACGAUCACACAGCUAAUCAGUGUGGAGCUGCAUGCAAAUGCAAGCCGUGUGGCCCCUGAGUCCCAUGCUCCUCAGCUAGCUCAUUUGAUGUCCUCCAACUCCUAGCAGCAGCCCUUUGCAUAGGUAAGGAAGCUGGGCCUCUGGGCACCGAGCCUCUGAGAGUUACCAGCGAUAAGAGCACUGCCAUCGAGUGCCUGCUCUGGGUCUGGCUCAGGGCUAGGCCUUUGUCUCCAGUCUGUCACCACAGCCCCAGGAGACAGGGGCCUCUGCCCCACUCCACAGUCUGAGGCCACACAGCUACCAAGUGGCAACACAGAGGCCCUGCUCAGGCAGGCUUAGAUCCAAAGUCCACGCUCUUUCCACCACCUGGCUGGACACUAACAGGGACGUUCCGGUGACAUCUCAGAGGACGGGGAAAGAAGCGGAUACCUGCCGUGGCCUGGGCCACAAGGCAAGGAGCAGGCUGUGUCCUUACCCACAGCCCCGGGGUCUUGGGAACAAUUUCGGACAGGGCCUGCUGAGCCGGAUGUUAGUAAAAAGGAAGCCACUUUGAUACUGAAUUGCUUAGGACACGAACACUGGCUUGAGAGACACCUCGCUCAGUGGUCUCGCUCUCAGAGUGAGAACAGAUUCAGGGAGGGGUGCACGGGCAGCUGAGAGGGGAACCAACGUGGUGAAAUGCGGAGGAGGGCCGCACAGGACACCACGCUCGGCAUCUGAUGUUCUCCCUGCAGAGCCAGGCGCCAGUGUGAACCCAUCACUCCUCCCCGCAUGCAGCCCUCUUGGCCUUGCAGGCCAGGAAGAGGGGACUGCAAGAGCCAGCGUCCAAACGACUCGGCCGGGUGGGGCAGGGUGGGCACUGCUCCCACCCGACCUUCUCGGCGGGGCUCAGUUUACGGCGAAGUCACGGAAGACGGCAGCGGCCAGAGCCCAGCAACGAGGCCACCCAGCGGCCCACGUGAGUCCAGAAAAAGAAGUGGCAGGGUGACAAGCAGCUGAAUUCAGGCCAGUUCACCUCCUUCUGUCUUCGGGAACAGUCUGGCUUCAAAGCCCCUCAUGGAUCCAGUCCAAACCAGAACCUCUUCCUCCUCUGCAUUCCCAUAAGCCUCUGUCUCAUAAGACACACAUGCGGUCGCCACGGUCAUAGCUACUACCCACUUGGCAGGUUCUCCGUGUCAGGUAGGCCCUGGGCUGGGGCUCUGAGGUCUUCCUUAGCUCCUCUGUGCAGAAAAACUCAGGAUCGUAGAGAGAUGACUUGCCUAAGCUCACACAACCAGGAGCUGGUAAAUAAACACUCGUUGAGUGAAAGAGUAAACUGAGACCAGCUCUCCCUGCCCAGUACCCGGGCCCCUGCCCACCCUCCUCUCCCAGGAGCCAGCCGCCCACUGCCACUUCUCUGCUGGCGGCAGAAGAAAGACGCUGCAUCACUGCCAGGACUGUUGCAAACACUGGACGAUGUGGCACCGGGGGUCCUGCUAAGGCUGCUCUGGGAGACAGAUGCCCGGGGAACCUCAGGACCUCCCAUGGCCUCACCUGGGCAACCGCUGACUGCAUUUGUUAUGCUGUAAAUCGUAAAUCACUCGUACACGCUUGGCCCUCUACGUGGUCAUACGUGCUCACACAGAAGUCCAGUGUGAAGGACGGACGAGCAGGGGCCCAGAGAGGCAAAGUGACUUGGAUCUGGCCACACAGUGCAGGGCAGAGUGAGGACCUGUACCCAGGUCCAAGUUUCUUGCCACCAUUCCAGCUGCCCACUCUCCAUCAGGUCUGGUGACUGAAGAGGGGCUGAAGAGUUGAGAUGCAAAUGGCAGCCUUGAGGAAUGUUUACACAAGGGGAGGUGGCUUAGCCCGAUCCUCCCUGGAGUGCUCCCCGUGGUGCUCCCUCUGUCCCCAUGGAUGGUCUGAGCAACAGCUAUGCCCCUGCUGCGCAGUUUCAGAAAUCAGCCUCCCCCGACUUCCACCAAUUCCCCGAAAAUUCGCACACUGCCUCCGUGGUUCCAGCCCCGAUGUACACCAGGAGCCAAAGGUGUAACAACUCUGAGGAGACUCACGCCAGCCGCCUUUCCCCCGGGCUGAUGGUGGGGAAGGUCUGUUCUAAGGCAGGGAGGACAAUCAGGCUCCUCAACAGAAAUCUGCACAUUUCAUAUUUGAGGUUAAGGAAACAUCUGUCUUCCUCUCCUCUGACUCAAGAGUCCUCCGUAGCAAUCUAUGCUAAGACAACAUUUUAUGCACAAAGAUGGUAACUGCUGAAUUGUUUUUAAUAGCAAAAAAAUGGAAACGGCUUCUGUCCAACGUUAGCAGGAUAGUUAAAUGAACUACGGCACAUCCAUGCAUUAAUUGCAACCAUUAAAAACAUUCUUUAUGAAAAAAAUUUGAAUAAGUUAGGGAAAUACCUAUGAAUGUAACAUUAAGCCAAAACAGAGAGAGAUGGAGAGAGAAAGAGGACAUGGAAUUGCAUACAGAGAGGGAAAAAAAGUACAGAGAAGACUGGAAGGAAGUGAACCAAGAUAUCAACACAGGCUGCAUCCGGGUGGCAGAACGAGUUGUUUGUUUUCUGUUUUACACCUUUUGAUACUUUUUCUUUUCUCCUACAUUCCUGUGAUAAUCAGAGAAAUAAAAGCAGCUACCCAAAUUCUUUCUUUCUCUCUCUCUUCCUUUUCCACCCCCCCCGCCCCCGAGACACACACACGCACGCGCGCGCACCCUGAGUGAAUUAUCUGAACGUCCAGAAAGGAUGUGAUGCUGACUGGUUACAGGGAGGAAAGCAGGUCCUGUGUCUCUUUUCCCGCAACACAAAUGCUUCUAAUAAGACCAUACACACAGAGGCCAUUCCUUUAAAUUUGUCUUCAAGGUUUUCCUGGGAGGGGAGCCUGGGUGGCUCAGUUGGUUAAGUGGCCGACUCCUGAUACCGGCUCAGGUCGUGAUCUUGCGGUCGUGAGAUCAAGCCCUGAGUCAGGCUCCACACUGAGCAUGGAGCAUGCCUGGGAUUCUCUCUCUCUCUCGCUCCCUCUGCCCCUC
This is a long non-coding RNA of Acinonyx jubatus (cheetah), 6705 nucleotides long. RefSeq lists it as uncharacterized. The record is from RefSeq and is a predicted model, not a curated record. Lineage: Eukaryota; Metazoa; Chordata; Mammalia; Carnivora; Felidae. The transcript is spliced from 2 exons.